ACAUGUCGCUCAUAGUAAUAUUCCGUGUUCUCAAAACUAAUAUCACUUGAUUUAUUUUUUGGAUGUUUCUACCACCAAGCAUUGGCCAUGUAAUGUGUAUUUAAUAAAAACCUCUUUUUUAGUUUAAAUCUAGCAAUUAUGCUUCCAACUUCUUGACUCCAAAUCUCCAUAUUUGUUAAUUAAUUAGUGAAUUGGUAGAACAUAAAUAUAGUGUUUCUUAUAUUUGGCUGCAUAUGUGGCUAUGUUUGGAGAUUUUUUGUAUAUAUUGGGAGUAAGCAGCAUCUUCUGCAGGUCUUUCACAGUUAUCUGGAGAUGCUACUAUCAUUGUCUUAGAGCAUUACCUUAGGGGUUUGCAAGUCAUUGUGGCUGGGAUAAAGGUUGACCAUACUUGAAGAGAGUUCGAUUAACUGGUGAUGAAAGUGGCUGUCAUGAAAAUAACCUACAAAAUUUGAACUAGAAUACUGGAUUGUCCAAGUUGCUGCCAAUAGUGGGAAAGUUUUGAGAACAUGCUAGUACUUCUUCUGUUUUUGACCUCAUGAGGACAUGAUAUUGGAAUAUUGAUUUCUUCCAGGUCAUUGAUCGACUUUUGAAGGCAACUCAUCUAAGAUUGUGUUGCUUAGCAUCUAAUGCAUCACAGUUUAUGAAGUUGUUCUUGCUGAAGUUGACAGAUUGUGCAGCUUCCCCAAAAUUAUCUUCUAAUCAAGAUGUCAAGUUUCUUGAAGAUAUUAUAAGCAAAUGGAAGCAACUCAUGUUCCCAAUUGCAUUUCCUUGUUGAUGGGUGAAUUUGUCUACUUGAGUUUGAGAAAUUUGAUUUACUUGUAUUGGCAAUGAGAGCCAAGGGAGUUGGGAUUCCAAUCUCCUGCAAGAAGAGUUCAUAUAUAUUAACUUCAUCAGCUAUGUUUCUUCUUUCCUUCAUCUAGGCUUGUUUUUUUUUUCUCGUUAGACAAGAAUGAAUUAUGAAGAAGAUGUAUUUACGAUGCAUAUUAAGCAUAUUUAUGAAGAGUAUCAUAAACAAAACCAUAAUUAUCUAGCCUUAUCCCAUCUAUUUGGUGUUAGCUUUAUAGAUCUAUAUCCACUAAGGAUUCUUAUUUUGGGCCACCUUGCUGUUACUUCAAACUUUUCCAUAUCUUUUCUGAUCUGAUUGGAGAGAGAAGGAAUUUCUUCCAUUAAUUCAAUUAACUCGAAUCUCUCAUAGAACAAAAGAAACAAUAAAUGAAAACAAACUUGAUAGCAAGGGGAAAGCAGAGGUUUUUCUAUUUGCUUUCUUUAAAACCAAUAAACAAAAUUGUGGUACAAAACCUCUGAUUCUACAAAUGAGGUCUGCCUCUCCAAAUUCUAGGUCAGAUUCAGUCUUUUUGACUAAAAAGUUGAAUUUUACCAAAAAUAGAAAAAGACAAAAAGUAUCAAAAUUGGUCAGGAUGUUGGAUUUCAACUUCUACAUCAGCUUUGUUUUUUAUCACAUCAUCUAAUUCUUUAUAGUUUGAGUUAUAUCCCAGUCAUUGCUUACUAUAAAUGCUAACUUGAUUUUGAUUGGGCAAUUUGGUGCGCUAAACAGCCUUGAAUCGGGUUUGUUUCAAGCCUAACAGUCCUAUUAGUGGGUUUUCACGCUUUAGAUCUCAAAAGUUACCCAAUUUCAAAAAAUGUUAAAAACAAACACUAUAUGUGAAAAUUAUGCCUUUUGAAUGUUUUGUUUUAUAAAUUGACUUUGGAUGUGGUGGAUCUUUUUCUUGAACCCUAUCUAGAUCUAUCUGGUGUGGACGAGCUGGUUUACAAUGCGUGUAGUGAUUCUUUCGGAUCAAAACUCCCCUAGGAUAUAUAGUUCCCACCGGACUAAAAUUGAAGGUGGAGAAACUCUUGAUUUGCUUUUUCUCGAUUGAACCACUUUACUUUGCUAUAGUUGACAUGAAAAGACUCAUCUUUCCUCUUCGGGUCUAUCCGUCN
RNAcentral lists this long non-coding RNA (1941 nucleotides) under Phoenix dactylifera (date palm). Its description in RNAcentral is "long non-coding RNA (PDAC_LNC001299)". The record is from RNAcentral. Lineage: Eukaryota; Viridiplantae; Streptophyta; Magnoliopsida; Arecales; Arecaceae.